AGUUCGGAUUGGAGGCUGAAACCCGCCUCCAUGAAGUUGGAUUCGCUAGUAAUCGCGCAUCAGCCAUGGCGCGGUGAAUACGUUCCCGGGCCUUGUACACACCGCCCGUCAAGCCAUGGGAGCCGGUAACACCCGAAGCCUGUAGUCUAACCGCAAGGAGGACGCAGUCGAAGGUGGGAUUGAUGACUGGGGUGAAGUCGUAACAAGGUAGC
Molecule: ribosomal RNA, 212 nt
Filed under: uncultured bacterium
Lineage: Bacteria
Description: partial 16S ribosomal RNA
Rfam family: Bacterial small subunit ribosomal RNA
Source: RNAcentral